This 518-nucleotide ribosomal RNA is filed under the name Philautus worcesteri (Mindanao bubble-nest frog). RNAcentral describes it as "partial 16S ribosomal RNA". It matches the Rfam family "Bacterial large subunit ribosomal RNA", at positions 1850 to 2588 of the family's 2925-position model. The record is from RNAcentral. Lineage: Eukaryota; Metazoa; Chordata; Amphibia; Anura; Rhacophoridae.
AGGUCCAGCCUGCCCAGUGAUAAACUUCAACGGCCACGGUACCCUAACCGCGCAAAGGUAGCACAAUCACUUGUUCUUUAAAUAAGGACCAGUAUCAACGGCAUCACGAGGGUCACACCGUCUCCUCCCCCCAAUCAGUGAAACUGAUCUUCCCGUGAAAAAGCGGGAAUAAAACUAUAAGACGAGAAGACCCCAUGGAGCUUUAAACUUUCGGCAACCAAAUAACACACUCCCUACAAACAUAAAAUUAUGCCUACUAGUCUUAGGCUGGGGCGACCGCGGAGUAAAAAUUAACCUCCACAACGAAAAGAACUAAAUCUUUAUCCAAGAGUUACCACUCUAAGAAUUAGGACACUAACGUAAAAUGACCCGACAACGAUCAACGAACCAAGUUACCCUGGGGAUAACAGCGCAAUCUACUUUAAGAGUCCAUAUCGACAAGUAGGCUUACGACCUCGAUGUUGGAUCAGGGUAUCCUAGUGGUGCAGUCGCUACUAAUGGUUCGUUUGUUCAACGAU